Molecule: ribosomal RNA, 436 nt
Filed under: uncultured bacterium
Lineage: Bacteria
Description: bacterial SSU rRNA
Rfam family: Bacterial small subunit ribosomal RNA
Source: RNAcentral
UACGGAAGGCAGCAGUGGGGAAUAUUGCACAAUGGGCGCAAGCCUGAUGCAGCCAUGCCGCGUGUAUGAAAAAGGCCUUCGGGUUGUAAAGUACUUUCAGUCGUGAGGAAGGUGUUAAGGUUAAUAACCUUAGCAAUUGACGUUAGCGACAGAAGAAGCACCGGCUAACUCCGUGCCAGCAGCCGCGGUAAUACGGAGGGUGCGAGCGUUAAUCGGAAUUACUGGGCGUAAAGGGCACGCAGGCGGUUAAUUAAGUUGGAUGUGAAAUCCCCGGGCUUAACCUGGGAAUGGCAUUCAAGACUGGUUAGCUAGAGUCUUGUAGAGGGGGUUAGAAUUCCAUGUGUAGCGGUGAAAUGCGUAGAGAUGUGGAGGAAUACCGGUGGCGAAGGCGGCCCCUGGGACAAAGGACUGACGCUCAUGUGCGAAAGCGUGGGGA